RNAcentral lists this ribosomal RNA (1544 nucleotides) under Salmonella enterica. Its description in RNAcentral is "bacterial SSU rRNA". It matches the Rfam family "Bacterial small subunit ribosomal RNA". Lineage: Bacteria; Pseudomonadati; Pseudomonadota; Gammaproteobacteria; Enterobacterales; Enterobacteriaceae. The record is from RNAcentral.
AAAUUGAAGAGUUUGAUCAUGGCUCAGAUUGAACGCUGGCGGCAGGCCUAACACAUGCAAGUCGAACGGUAACAGGAAGCAGCUUGGCUGCUUUGCUGACGAGUGGCGGACGGGUGAGUAAUGUCUGGGAAACUGCCUGAUGGAGGGGGAUAACUACUGGAAACGGUGGCUAAUACCGCAUAACGUCGCAAGACCAAAGAGGGGGACCUUCGGGCCUCUUGCCAUCAGAUGUGCCCAGAUGGGAUUAGCUUGUUGGUGAGGUAACGGCUCACCAAGGCGACGAUCCCUAGCUGGUCUGAGAGGAUGACCAGCCACACUGGAACUGAGACACGGUCCAGACUCCUACGGGAGGCAGCAGUGGGGAAUAUUGCACAAUGGGCGCAAGCCUGAUGCAGCCAUGCCGCGUGUAUGAAGAAGGCCUUCGGGUUGUAAAGUACUUUCAGCGGGGAGGAAGGUGUUGUGGUUAAUAACCGCAGCAAUUGACGUUACCCGCAGAAGAAGCACCGGCUAACUCCGUGCCAGCAGCCGCGGUAAUACGGAGGGUGCAAGCGUUAAUCGGAAUUACUGGGCGUAAAGCGCACGCAGGCGGUCUGUCAAGUCGGAUGUGAAAUCCCCGGGCUCAACCUGGGAACUGCAUUCGAAACUGGCAGGCUUGAGUCUUGUAGAGGGGGGUAGAAUUCCAGGUGUAGCGGUGAAAUGCGUAGAGAUCUGGAGGAAUACCGGUGGCGAAGGCGGCCCCCUGGACAAAGACUGACGCUCAGGUGCGAAAGCGUGGGGAGCAAACAGGAUUAGAUACCCUGGUAGUCCACGCCGUAAACGAUGUCUACUUGGAGGUUGUGCCCUUGAGGCGUGGCUUCCGGAGCUAACGCGUUAAGUAGACCGCCUGGGGAGUACGGCCGCAAGGUUAAAACUCAAAUGAAUUGACGGGGGCCCGCACAAGCGGUGGAGCAUGUGGUUUAAUUCGAUGCAACGCGAAGAACCUUACCUGGUCUUGACAUCCACAGAACUUUCCAGAGAUGGAUUGGUGCCUUCGGGAACUGUGAGACAGGUGCUGCAUGGCUGUCGUCAGCUCGUGUUGUGAAAUGUUGGGUUAAGUCCCGCAACGAGCGCAACCCUUAUCCUUUGUUGCCAGCGGUCCGGCCGGGAACUCAAAGGAGACUGCCAGUGAUAAACUGGAGGAAGGUGGGGAUGACGUCAAGUCAUCAUGGCCCUUACGACCAGGGCUACACACGUGCUACAAUGGCGCAUACAAAGAGAAGCGACCUCGCGAGAGCAAGCGGACCUCAUAAAGUGCGUCGUAGUCCGGAUUGGAGUCUGCAACUCGACUCCAUGAAGUCGGAAUCGCUAGUAAUCGUGGAUCAGAAUGCCACGGUGAAUACGUUCCCGGGCCUUGUACACACCGCCCGUCACACCAUGGGAGUGGGUUGCAAAAGAAGUAGGUAGCUUAACCUUCGGGGGGGGCGCUUACCACUUUGUGAUUCAUGACUGGGGUGAAGUCGUAACAAGGUAACCGUAGGGGAACCUGCGGUUGGAUCACCUCCUUA